GGGGGUGACCUGGUCUCGACGGGAAUAGCGAGACUAAAGAUGCAUGCCGAGGGUUCCAUUGACCUCGUAAAUUCUGAUGGAAACUCAUAAGUGCAAAUACUUAUGAAUAUGCACUGGCUGCUUAAUUAAACAGCCAGCGUCCUCUCUGUCUCUGUCUGCAGGAUAGAAAAGGAUGUUAUAAAUGCAGGCUGGCUUUACAUCAUGCCUGAGGAUGUGGGGUAAGACUAAAUCAGGAUAGCCAUUUGAGAAUCCUGCCUCCGGGAGUCUUGAGUGGUGAGAUUCAAAUCAGAGGAUAAGCAUGUAGUAUGCUUUAAGUUGAGCGUUUUCGGACGCGGGUUCGAUUCCCGCCACCUCCACCA
RNAcentral lists this transfer-messenger RNA (359 nucleotides) under Nitrospinota. Its description in RNAcentral is "PLOWO2-12-39-15 sp001804915 Standard tmRNA". It matches the Rfam family "transfer-messenger RNA". Rfam says of the family: Bacterial tmRNA, also known as 10Sa RNA or SsrA, is named for its dual tRNA and mRNA-like properties. Its role is to liberate the mRNA from a stalled ribosome. The record is from RNAcentral. Lineage: Bacteria; Pseudomonadati. RNAcentral also lists the same sequence under 3 other names.